This 254-nucleotide ribosomal RNA is filed under the name uncultured bacterium. RNAcentral describes it as "partial 16S ribosomal RNA". It matches the Rfam family "Bacterial small subunit ribosomal RNA", at positions 524 to 776 of the family's 1533-position model. The record is from RNAcentral.
UACAGAGGGGGCUAGCGUUAUUCGGAAUUAUUGGGCGUAAAGGGCGCGUAGGCGGCCACCGCAAGUCGACUGUGAAAUCUCCGGGCUUAACCCGGAAAGGUCAGCCGAUACUGCGGGGCUAGAGUGCAGAAGGGGCAACUGGAAUUCUCGGUGUAGCGGUGAAAUGCGUAGAUAUCGAGAGGAACACCUGCGGCGAAGGCGGGUUGCUGGGCUGACACUGACGCUGAGGCGCGAAAGCUAGGGGAGCGAACGGG